GCUGGCGGCGUGCCUAACACAUGCAAGUCGAACGGUAACAGUCCUUCGGGAGCUGACGAGUGGCGCACGGGUGAGUAACGCGUGGAUAUCUGCCUAUUAGUGGGGGACAACUACAGGAAACUGUAGCUAAUACCGCAUAAUCUCUACGGAGGAAAGCAGGGGACCUUUCGGGGCCUUGCGCUGAUAGAUGAGUCCGCGUCUGAUUAGCUAGUUGGUAAGGUAAUGGCUUACCAAGGCGAUGAUCAGUAUCUGGUUUGAGAGGAUGAUCAGACACACUGGAACUGAGACACGGUCCAGACUCCUACGGGAGGCAGCAGUGGGGAAUAUUGCACAAUGGGGGAAACCCUGAUGCAGCGACGCCGCGUGCGGGAAGAAGGCCUUCGGGUUGUAAACCGCUUUCAAUUGGGAAGAAGAGAUGAGCGCUAAUAUCGCUCUGAUUUGACGGUACCUUUAGAAGAAGCACCGGCUAAUUUCGUGCCAGCAGCCGCGGUAAUACGAAAGGUGCAAGCGUUGUUCGGAUUUACUGGGCGUAAAGAGAUCGUAGGUGGUUUAUUAAGUCGGAUGUGAAAUCCCGGGGCUCAACCCCGGAACUGCAUCCGAUACUGAUAGGCUAGAGUUUGGGAGGGGUAAGCGGAAUUCCGUGUGUAGCAGUGAAAUGCGUAGAUAUACGGAGGAACACCUGAGGCGAAGGCGGCUUACUGGACCAAUACUGACACUGAGGAUCGAAAGCGUGGGUAGCAAACAGGAUUAGAUACCCUGGUAGUCCACGCCCUAAACGAUGUCAACUAGCCGUUGCGGGUAUCGACCCCUGCAGUGGCGAAGCUAACGCGAUAAGUUGACCGCCUGGGGAGUACGGUCGCAAGAU
RNAcentral lists this ribosomal RNA (865 nucleotides) under uncultured Zetaproteobacteria bacterium. Its description in RNAcentral is "bacterial SSU rRNA". It matches the Rfam family "Bacterial small subunit ribosomal RNA", at positions 35 to 894 of the family's 1533-position model. The record is from RNAcentral. Lineage: Bacteria; Pseudomonadati; Pseudomonadota; Candidatius Mariprofundia.